AGUGAACGCUGGCGGUAGGCCUAACACAUGCAAGUCGAACGGCAGCACAGUAAGAGCUUGCUCUUACGGGUGGCGAGUGGCGGACGGGUGAGGAAUACAUCGGAAUCUACUUUUUCGUGGGGGAUAACGUAGGGAAACUUACGCUAAUACCGCAUACGACCUACGGGUGAAAGCAGGGGAUCUUCGGACCUUGCGCGAUUGAAUGAGCCGAUGUCGGAUUAGCUAGUUGGCGGGGUAAAGGCCCACCAAGGCGACGAUCCGUAGCUGGUCUGAGAGGAUGAUCAGCCACACUGGAACUGAGGCAAGGUCCAGAGUCCUACGGGAGGCAGCAGUGGGGAAUAUUGGACAAUGGGCGCAAGCCUGCUACAGCCAUACCGAGUGGGUGAAGAAGGCCUUCGGGUUGUAAAGCCCUUUUGUUGGGAAAGAAAAGCAGCAGGUUAAUACCCCGCUGUUCUGACGGUACCCAAAGAAUAAGCACCGGCUAACUUCGUG
This 492-nucleotide ribosomal RNA is filed under the name uncultured bacterium. Its description in RNAcentral is "partial 16S ribosomal RNA". It matches the Rfam family "Bacterial small subunit ribosomal RNA", at positions 29 to 507 of the family's 1533-position model. The record is from RNAcentral.